GAUGAACGCUGACAGAAUGCUUAACACAUGCAAGUCAACUUGAAUUUGGGUUUUUAACUUAGGUUUGGGUGGCGGACAGGUGAGUAACGCGUAAAGAACUUGCCUCACAGCUAGGGACAACAUUUGGAAACGAAUGCUAAUACCUAAUAUUAUGAUAAUAGGGCAUCCUAUAAUUAUGAAAGCUAUAAGCGCUGUGAGAGAGCUUUGCGUCCCAUUAGCUAGUUGGAGAGGUAACGGCUCACCAAGGCGAUGAUGGGUAGCCGGUCUGAGAGGGUGAUCGGCCACAAGGGGACUGAGACACGGCCCUUACUCCUACGGGAGGCAGCAGUGGGGAAUAUUGGACAAUGGACCGAGAGUCUGAUCCAGCAAUUCUGUGUGCACGAUGAAGUUUUUCGGAAUGUAAAGUGCUUUCAGUUGGGAAGAAACAAAUGACGGUACCAACAGAAGAAGUGACGGCUAAAUACGUG
This 467-nucleotide ribosomal RNA is filed under the name uncultured bacterium. RNAcentral's name for it is "partial 16S ribosomal RNA". It matches the Rfam family "Bacterial small subunit ribosomal RNA", at positions 28 to 507 of the family's 1533-position model. The record is from RNAcentral.